Molecule: long non-coding RNA, 1233 nt
Organism: Herpailurus yagouaroundi (jaguarundi)
Lineage: Eukaryota; Metazoa; Chordata; Mammalia; Carnivora; Felidae
Exons: 3
Source: RefSeq, a predicted model, not a curated record
CUCAUGUGCACUCUCUUUCUCUCUCAAAGUAAACAUAAAAAAAAAAAGGUAGAAUUUAGCCCUCCACCCAUUGAAUUUGGGGUGUUUAUGACUUGCUUGUAUCUGAUACAAUGGGGCUGAAAUAACUCCCUGUGGCAUCCAUGGCUAGGUCUUACAAGGCAAUCCAGCGUCUGCUUUGUUAGCGGGAACAUUCCUCACCUUUGGAGCCCUGCGCUCCCACGUGAGAAGUUAGCCCAGCCCGAGGCUGCCGUGAAGCGGGGCAGCCGACGGCCAUGUGGUGAGGCCACAAGUAGCUUUUUCAGCCCUAGCUGAGGUCCCAGCCAGCAGCCAGCAUCGGCCACCGGAUGCGUGAAGAGGACGGUCACCUCCAAGUGAUCCCAGCCCUGGCCACCAGCUGUCUUUUUGUUGAGGUCCAGAUGUUGUGGAGGAGAGAUGAGCUAUACCCCCUGUGCCCUUCCAGUUCCUAACCUAGCCCGCAGGAUUAGGGUAGUAAUGAUGGUUAUAUUACUCCCACUGAGUUUAGGGUAGUUCCAGUAGUAACUGGAACAACAUAUAGGAUUCCUAGACAGUGAACACAUAUGUGCCAGCAUCCAUACUAAACACGGUACACACAUCUACACCCACCCGGGCGACUUCUCUACGCCUCCUAAAGGGAUGGGCUCCACAUCUACCUCAAAGAAUGCGCGACACUUGUCAAUCGCCUGCCUCAAGUCUCUUUGCUGAGAAACCCUGUCCCCUCCCUUAUCUGAUCCAUACACCUUCCUAGCCACCCAACCCCUUUGUGUCCCAAGUAAAGCAGAAGUUGUGGCUGAAGUCAUUAAUAGGCCUACAAUCUCUGCCCAGGGAGGCCCUUUGCUAGAAUGGCCACCAGACUGUCCCUGCGUGGUCCGGGGACAGACCCCUGUGCGACCAGCUCCAUCGCUUUCGGAAUUGUGGACUGCCUCACCUUCCACGGGAGCUGGGUAAUAGUGAACCCACAAACAGUAUUUCCCUAUGCGGCGGGCACUGAUUUCAUCCUCAGAAGAGCUCGGUGAGAUGAGAAAACUGAGGGCAGAGACAGAAAAUAGUUGGCCUAGAGUUCCACAGCUAGCCGGUGAAGGGGCCUGGAGCUGAGGCUUCCGCUUCCAGACGUCUUUCUUUAAAGGAAACGGAGAGGAAACCGUAAGCGAGGCUGGAAGGAAACAAACGGAGUCAAUUGUGAGGAAACCGACUGCAGAUCUUUCUGCCAAGGGG